RNAcentral lists this ribosomal RNA (737 nucleotides) under uncultured Brevibacterium sp. RNAcentral describes it as "bacterial SSU rRNA". It matches the Rfam family "Bacterial small subunit ribosomal RNA", at positions 771 to 1501 of the family's 1533-position model. Lineage: Bacteria; Bacillati; Actinomycetota; Actinomycetes; Micrococcales; Brevibacteriaceae. The record is from RNAcentral.
AACAGGAUUAGAUACCCUGGUAGUCCAUGCCGUAAACGUUGGGCACUAGGUGUGGGGGGCAUUCCACGUUCUCCGCGCCGUAGCUAACGCAUUAAGUGCCCCGCCUGGGGAGUACGGUCGCAAGGCUAAAACUCAAAGGAAUUGACGGGGGCCCGCACAAGCGGCGGAGCAUGCGGAUUAAUUCGAUGCAACGCGAAGAACCUUACCAAGGCUUGACAUACACCGGACCGUCCUGGAAACAGGUCUUCUUCUUUGAAGCUGGUGUACAGGUGGUGCAUGGUUGUCGUCAGCUCGUGUCGUGAGAUGUUGGGUUAAGUCCCGCAACGAGCGCAACCCUCGUUCUAUGUUGCCAGCACGUGAUGGUGGGAACUCAUAGGAGACUGCCGGGGUCAACUCGGAGGAAGGUGGGGAUGACGUCAAAUCAUCAUGCCCUUUAUGUCUUGGGCUUCACGCAUGCUACAAUGGCUGGUACAGAGAGAGGCGAACCCGUGAGGGCAAGCGAAUCCCUUAAAGCCAGUCUCAGUUCGGAUCGUAGUCUGCAAUUCGACUACGUGAAGUCGGAGUCGCUAGUAAUCGCAGAUCAGCAACGCUGCGGUGAAUACGUUCCCGGGCCUUGUACACACCGCCCGUCAAGUCACGAAAGUCGGUAACACCCGAAGCCGGUGGCCUAACCCCUUGUGGGAGGGGGCCGUCUAAGGUGGGACUGGUGAUUGGGACUAAGUCGUAACAAGGUAACC